AAGUCGUUUCUACUUCCAUUUACUGAGAGCAAUACAGAUUCUCGACUACCCAUGCAGAAUGACCAAUUUAUUUCAUAUUAUAUCAGUAAUUUGUAGCUUGUAAAAUAAACAACACAUUUAUGGCUUGUCAAACCAUGACACGAUAUAUAACCAUGGCCAUGCCAACCAUAAUGGUCCUGUAGUUAACUAUGGCCACAACUGUACUUUGCCAAAAGUGAGCUCUAUAAUCACAUCGCGUCACCACUCUCUUUAGAGGGUACACUGUCAUCAGCGAGCGCUCUUCUCACAUCUUUUUAGACCAGAUGUGGGAGAAAUAAAAAGUCCUCAGAGAUAAAAAAGUUUACCAAACACUUUAUGAAUCAUGCAUGCUGAUACCAAUACAUAUUUCUCAUACUUAAACAUCACCUCAUGCUUAAUUUCUACCAUCAUAUAAUGU
This 436-nucleotide long non-coding RNA is filed under the name Carica papaya (papaya). RNAcentral describes it as "long non-coding RNA (CPAP_LNC013105)". Lineage: Eukaryota; Viridiplantae; Streptophyta; Magnoliopsida; Brassicales; Caricaceae. The record is from RNAcentral.